RNAcentral lists this ribosomal RNA (373 nucleotides) under uncultured soil bacterium. RNAcentral's name for it is "bacterial SSU rRNA". It matches the Rfam family "Bacterial small subunit ribosomal RNA", at positions 26 to 394 of the family's 1533-position model. The record is from RNAcentral.
AGGAUGAACGCUAGCGGCAGGCUUAACACAUGCAAGUCGAGGGGCAGCACGUCUUCGGAUGGUGGCGACCGGCGCACGGGUGAGUAACGCGUAUGCAAUCUACCUUUUACUGGGGCAUAGCCCGGGGAAACCCGGAUUAAUAUCCCAUGGUACCAUGAUAUAGCAUUAUAUUUUGGUUAAAGCUUCGGCGGUAAAAGAUGAGCAUGCGUCCUAUUAGCUUGAUGGUAAGGUAACGGCUUACCAUGGUCUUUGAGUAGGUAGGGGUCUGAGAGGGACGACCCCCCACACUGGUACUGAGACACGGACCACGACUCCGUACGGGAGCAGCAGGUGAGGAAUAUAGGACAAGUGGCGUAGAGCCUGACUCCAGCCA